GAGUUUGAUCCUGGCUCAGAUUGAACGCUGGCGGCAGGCCUAACACAUGCAAGUCGAGCGGUAACAGGACUAGCUUGCUAGUUGCUGACGAGCGGCGGACGGGUGCGUAACACGUAGGAAUCUGCCCGGGUAGUGGGGGAUAGCCCGGAGAAAUCCGGAUUAAUACCGCAUACGCCCUAAGGGGGAAAGAUGGCCUCUUCUUGAAAGCUAUCACUAUCGGAUGAGCCUGCGUCGGAUUAGCUAGUUGGUGAGGUAAAGGCUCACCAAGGCGACGAUCCGUAGCUGGUCUGAGAGGAUGAUCAGCCACACUGGGACUGAGACACGGCCCAGACUCCUACGGGAGGCAGCAGUGGGGAAUAUUGCACAAUGGGCGCAAGCCUGAUGCAGCCAUGCCGCGUGUGUGAAGAAGGCUCUAGGGUUGUAAAGCACUUUCAGCGAGGAGGAAAGGUUAAAGAUUAAUACUCUUUAGCUGUGACGUUACUCGCAGAAGAAGCA
This 495-nucleotide ribosomal RNA is filed under the name uncultured microorganism. RNAcentral's name for it is "bacterial SSU rRNA". It matches the Rfam family "Bacterial small subunit ribosomal RNA", at positions 9 to 492 of the family's 1533-position model. The record is from RNAcentral.